GGCCUGGUGGUCUAGUAGUAUGAUUCCUUCUUAGGGUGUUCCCAGAGUUAACACGUGGUUGGAGGAGGUCCCGGGUUCAAUUCCCGGCCAGGCCC
Molecule: transfer RNA, 95 nt
Filed under: Lentinus tigrinus ALCF2SS1-6
Lineage: Eukaryota; Fungi; Basidiomycota; Agaricomycetes; Polyporales; Polyporaceae
Description: tRNA-Pro
Rfam family: tRNA
About the family: Transfer RNA (tRNA) molecules are approximately 80 nucleotides in length. Their secondary structure includes four short double-helical elements and three loops (D, anti-codon, and T loops).
Source: RNAcentral